UUCCGGUUGAUCCUGCCGGGGGUCACUGCUAUUGGGGUUCGAUUAAGCCAUGCGAGUCGACUGCAGGCAGGGCAGACGGCUCAGUAACACGUGGGUAAUCUACCCUCGGGUCUGGGAUAACCCCGGAAAACUGGGGAUAAUACCGGAUAGAUGGAGAGGUCUGGAAAGAUUUUCCGUCCAAAGCCCCGCCCGAGGAUGAGCUUGCGGUCGAUUAGGCUGUUGGCGGUGUUAAGGACCACCAAACCUGAGAUCGAUAUGGGCAGUGAGAGCUGGAGCCCGGAGAUGGGCACUGAGACAAGGGCCCAGGCCCUACGGGGCGCAGCAGUCGCGAAAACUUUGCAAUACACGAAAGUGUGACAGGGCUAUCCCGAGUGCCAUCCGCUGAGGAAGGCUUUUACCCAGUCUAGAAAGCUGGGAGAAUAAGGAGAGGGCAAGUCUGGUGUCAGCCGCCGCGGUAAUACCAGCUCUCCGAGUGGUGUGGAUGUUUAUUGGGCCUAAAGCAUCCGUAGCUGGCCAGGUUAGUCCCCUGUUAAACCCACCGAAUUAAUCGUUGGAUUGCGGGGGAUACUGCCAGGCUAGGGGACGAGAGAGGCAGACGGUAUUUUCGGGGUAGGGGUGAAAUCCUAUAAUCCCGGGAAGACCACCAGUGGCGAAGGCUGUCUGCUAGAACGCGCCCGACGGUGAGGGAUGAAAGCUGGGGGAGCGAACCGGAUUAGAUACCCGGGUAGUCCCAGCUGUAAACGAUGCAGGCUAGGUGUUUGGGCGGCCACGUGCCGCUCUAGUGCCGCAGGGAAGCUGUUAAGCCUGCCGCCUGGGGAGUACGGUCGCAAGAUUGAAACUUAAAGGAAUUGGCGGGGGAGCACCACAAGGGGUGAAGCUUGCGGUUUAAUUGGAUUCAACGCCGGA
This 906-nucleotide ribosomal RNA is filed under the name uncultured archaeon. Its description in RNAcentral is "bacterial SSU rRNA". It matches the Rfam family "Archaeal small subunit ribosomal RNA", at positions 1 to 922 of the family's 1478-position model. The record is from RNAcentral.